CCUACGGGAGGCAGCAGUGAGGAAUAUUGGUCAAUGGGCGUAAGCCUGAACCAGCCACGUCGCGUGAAGGAUGAAGGUUCUCUGGAUCGUAAACCUCUUUUAAAAGGGAGUAAAGUGUGGGUCGUGUCUUAUUUUGUAUGUACCUUAUGAAUACAGAUCGGCUAACUCCGUGCCAGCAGCCGCGGUAAUACGGAGGAUCCGAGCGGUAUCCGGAUUUGUUGGGUUUAACGGGUGCGUAGGCGGCCUUUUUAGUCAGCGGUGAAAGUCUGUGGCUCAACCAUAGAAUUGCCGUUGAAACUGGGGGGCUUGAGUAUGUUUGAGGCAGGCGGAAUGCGUGGUGUAGCGGUGAAAUGCUUAGAUAUCACGCAGAACCCCGAUUGCGAAGGCAGCCUACCAAGCCAUGACUGACGCUGAUGCACGAAAGCGUGGGGAUCAAACAGGAUUAGAUACCCCUGUAGUC
This 460-nucleotide ribosomal RNA is filed under the name uncultured bacterium. RNAcentral describes it as "partial 16S ribosomal RNA". It matches the Rfam family "Bacterial small subunit ribosomal RNA", at positions 338 to 795 of the family's 1533-position model. The record is from RNAcentral.